UCAAAACCCGGAAAUGACAGCAGAACAACAGACAACAUUUGUAAGUAAUAUGACAUGUUUUAUUCCCUAACAUUUCAUUGCGUUAAGUAGACUGUUGGUAGGGUAUCCCAGAA
Long non-coding RNA from Haliotis rubra (blacklip abalone), 113 nucleotides. RefSeq lists it as uncharacterized. The transcript is spliced from 4 exons. The record is from RefSeq and is a predicted model, not a curated record. Lineage: Eukaryota; Metazoa; Mollusca; Gastropoda; Lepetellida; Haliotidae.